RNAcentral lists this ribosomal RNA (548 nucleotides) under uncultured bacterium. Its description in RNAcentral is "bacterial SSU rRNA". It matches the Rfam family "Bacterial small subunit ribosomal RNA", at positions 356 to 896 of the family's 1533-position model. The record is from RNAcentral.
GGGGAAUUUUGGACAAUGGGCGCAAGCCUGAUCCAGCCAUGCCGCGUGUCUGAAGAAGGCCUUCGGGUUGUAAAGGACUUUUGUCAGGGAAGAAAAGGCUGUUGCCAAUAUCGACAGCUGAUGACGGUACCUGAAGAAUAAGCACCGGCUAACUACGUGCCAGCAGCCGCGGUAAUACGUAGGGUGCGAGCGUUAAUCGGAAUUACUGGGCGUAAAGCGAGCGCAGACGGUUACUUAAGCAGGAUGUGAAAUCCCCGGGCUCAACCUGGGAACUGCGUUCUGAACUGGGUAACUAGAGUGUGUCAGAGGGAGGUAGAAUUCCACGUGUAGCAGUGAAAUGCGUAGAGAUGUGGAGGAAUACCGAUGGCGAAGGCAGCCUCCUGGGAUAACACUGACGUUCAUGCUCGAAAGCGUGGGUAGCAAACAGGAUUAGAUACCCUGGUGGUCCACGCCCUAAACGAUGUCAAUUAGCUGUUGGGCAACUUGAUUGCUUAGUAGCGUAGCUAACGCGUGAAAUUGACCGCCUGGGGAGUACGGUCGCAAGAUUA